This 223-nucleotide long non-coding RNA is filed under the name Cicer arietinum (chickpea). RNAcentral describes it as "long non-coding RNA (CARI_LNC000780)". The record is from RNAcentral. Lineage: Eukaryota; Viridiplantae; Streptophyta; Magnoliopsida; Fabales; Fabaceae.
UUGGUUGUAUUCCCUUACCAAAUGCUGGGGACUAUGGUGGAUGGUUUUGCCCAUGCCAUGGAUCACAUUAUGAUAUUUCUGGCAGAAUUAGGAAGGGACCUGCACCAUACAAUCUGGAGGUACCUACUUAUACAUUCUUGGAGGAAAACAAGUUGUUGAUUGGUUGAAGACCUUUGGCUGCUCCCUAGUGGAAUGGGUCCAAAAUAUUUUUGAUUUAUUGGAU